UGAGUAACCUGCCCUUAACUCUGGGAUAAGCCUGGGAAACUGGGUCUAAUACCGGAUAUGACUCCUCAUCGCAUGGUGGGGGGUGGAAGGCUUUAUUGUGGUUUUGGAUGGACUCGCGGCCUAUCAGCUUGUUGGUUAGGUAAUGGCUCACCAAGGCGACGACGGGUAGCCGGCCUGAGAGGGUGACCGGCCACACUGGGACUGAGACACGGCCCAGACUCCUACGGGAGGCAG
RNAcentral lists this ribosomal RNA (234 nucleotides) under uncultured bacterium. RNAcentral describes it as "partial 16S ribosomal RNA". It matches the Rfam family "Bacterial small subunit ribosomal RNA", at positions 118 to 351 of the family's 1533-position model. The record is from RNAcentral.